GAUGAAGAACGUAGCGAAAUGCGAUAAGUAAUGUGAAUUGCAGAAUUCAGUGAAUCAUCGAAUCUUUGAACGCACAUUGCGCCCGCCAGUAUUCUGGCGGGCAUGCCUGUUCGAGCGUCAUUUCAACCCUCAAGCCCAGCUUGGUGUUGGGGAUCGGCACAGGCGCCCUCGGGCGCCCGCCGUCCCCUAAAUCUAGUGGCGGUCCCGCUGCAGCCUCCUCUGCGUAGUAGUUUUCUCCUCGCAAGGGCAGCUCGGUGGCGACCUCGCCGUAAAACCCCCAACUUCUGAAAGGUUGACCUCGAAUCAGGUAGGAAUACCCGCUGAACUUAAGCAUAGCAAUAAGCGGAGGA
RNAcentral lists this unclassified non-coding RNA (350 nucleotides) under soil metagenome. RNAcentral's name for it is "partial contains 5.8S ribosomal RNA, internal transcribed spacer 2, and large subunit ribosomal RNA". The stretch from base 1 to 120 matches the Rfam family "5.8S ribosomal RNA", at positions 35 to 154 of the family's 154-position model. The record is from RNAcentral.